CACAUGCAGUCGAACGAUGAUCUCCAGCUUGCUGGGGGGAUUAGUGGCGAACGGGUGAGUAACACGUGAGUAACCUGCCCUUAACUCUGGGAUAAGCCUGGGAAACUGGGUCUAAUACCGGAUAUGACUCCUCAUCGCAUGGUGGGGGGUGGAAAGCUUUUUGUGGUUUUGGAUGGACUCGCGGCCUAUCAGCUUGUUGGUGAGGUAAUGGCUCACCAAGGCGACGACGGGUAGCCGGCCUGAGAGGGUGACCGGCCACACUGGGACUGAGACACGGCCCAGACUCCUACGGGAGGCAGCAGUGGGGAAUAUUGCACAAUGGGCGCAAGCCUGAUGCAGCGACGCCGCGUGAGGGAUGACGGCCUUCGGGUUGUAAACCUCUUUCAGUAGGGAAGAAGCGAAAGUGACGGUACCUGCAGAAGAAGCGCCGGCUAACUACGUGCCAGCAGCCGCGGUAAUACGUAGGGCGCAAGCGUUAUCCGGAAUUAUUGGGCGUAAAGAGCUCGUAGGCGGUUUGUCGCGUCUGCCGUGAAAGUCCGG
RNAcentral lists this ribosomal RNA (540 nucleotides) under Pseudarthrobacter oxydans. RNAcentral's name for it is "bacterial SSU rRNA". It matches the Rfam family "Bacterial small subunit ribosomal RNA", at positions 52 to 605 of the family's 1533-position model. The record is from RNAcentral. Lineage: Bacteria; Bacillati; Actinomycetota; Actinomycetes; Micrococcales; Micrococcaceae.